GAGAUACAGGUAAUAUUUGAUAUUGUAUUUUUGCAGCACAAUGGCCCAUCAUUUUACCAUUGAAUUAAAAAUUUCCUUAUUGUAUCUUGUAAUAAAAAUUUCCUUAUUUGAGUGUCAAGCAUGUAAUAUUGGUGAGGAAUGUGUAGGGAAAGCAUCAUGUCAAUGAAUGCAGUGGAAAAUUUCUGUUGAUUUUGUGUUUCUGUUGUAGUAAAUACUCCAUGAGUGCAAAACAAUCUUCCUUGGUUUUGGUUAAUAUUGGAGUUAAAAGGAUGGGUAUAUCAAAUUAAAAGUUACUUUGGCUAGUUUUUGUUAACAUUUUAAUUAGAUGUCGGAGUUGUUUUCAUUGUAUUAGUUUGUCAGAACCACCA
RNAcentral lists this unclassified non-coding RNA (368 nucleotides) under Hevea brasiliensis (rubber tree). The record is from RNAcentral. Lineage: Eukaryota; Viridiplantae; Streptophyta; Magnoliopsida; Malpighiales; Euphorbiaceae.